GACGAACGCUGGCGGCGUGCUUAACACAUGCAAGUCGAACGCUGAAGCCCUUUCGGGGGUGGAUGAGUGGCGAACGGGUGAGUAACACGUGGGUAAUCUGCCCUGUACUUCGGGAUAAGCCCUGGAAACGGGGUCUAAUACCGGAUAGGACCUGUCCUCGCAUGGGGGUGGGUGGAAAGUUCCGGCGGUAUGGGAUGAGCCCGCGGCCUAUCAGCUUGUGGGUGGGGUGAUGGCCUACCAAGGCGACGACGGGUAGCCGGCCUGAGAGGGUGACCGGUCACACUGAGACUGAGACACGGCCCAGACUCCUACGGGAGGCAGCAGUGGGGAAUCUUGCGCAAUGGGCGAAAGCCUGACGCAGCAACGCCGCGUGGGGGAUGACGGCCUUCGGGUUGUAAACCUCUUUCGGCAUCGACGAAGGCAUCUCUGUGUGGGGUGUUGACGGUAGGUGUAGAAGAAGCACCGGCUAACUACGUGCCAGCAGCCGCCGUAA
Molecule: ribosomal RNA, 493 nt
Filed under: uncultured bacterium
Lineage: Bacteria
Description: partial 16S ribosomal RNA
Rfam family: Bacterial small subunit ribosomal RNA
Source: RNAcentral